GUAGGUGAACCUGCGGAAGGAUCAUUACAAUUCAGUAGCUUGCUACUGGUCGGGAGUCGCUGUAAGUCCGCAUAGUUUAAUUACUGAUGAGCGGCAGGCACUCUGUCUGAACCCUUGUCUUUUGCGCACUCUUGUUUCCUCGGCGGGCUUGCCCGCCGAUUGGACAAAACUAUAACCUUUUUAAUUUUCAAUCAGCGUCUGAAAAAACUUAAUAAUUACAACUUUCAACAACGGAUCUCUUGGUUCUG
Molecule: unclassified non-coding RNA, 248 nt
Filed under: rhizosphere metagenome
Description: partial ribosomal RNA internal transcribed spacer region
Source: RNAcentral